Molecule: long non-coding RNA, 1017 nt
Filed under: Oryctolagus cuniculus (rabbit)
Lineage: Eukaryota; Metazoa; Chordata; Mammalia; Lagomorpha; Leporidae
Description: lncRNA (ENSOCUG00000034220.1)
Source: RNAcentral
GCCAGAGCUCGGCCCGGACUCGCCCAGCUGCACAUGAGGACACCUCGGGCCUGGGUUCUGGGUGUUCAGAGCUGUACUUUUUAAAGAUUUAUUUAUUUAUUUGAAAGGCAGAGUUACAGAGAGGUAGAGGGAGAGAGAGAAAGAGAGAGGGAGGGAGGGAGGGAGGGAGGUCUUCCACCUGCUGGUUCACUCCCCAAUUGGCCGCAAUGCCCAGAGCUGUGCUGACCUGGAGCCAGGAGUGUCUUACAGGUCUCCCACGUGGGUGCAAGGGCCAAGGACCUGGGCCAUCUUCUACUGCUCUCCCAGGCCACAGCAGGGGGCUGGAUCGGAAGUGGAGCAGCCGGGACUAAAGCUGGCGCCCACGUGGGAUGCCCACUCCGCCACAGUGCCGGGCCCAGAGCUGCACCUUCUUCCCCUUCCCGGUCGUGGGCUCCAGCAGAGGGGCGGCUCCUGGGCUCGCCGGCUGUGCUCGUCCCAGGAGCGGCCCUGCGUGCGGCUGAAGUCUGUUUCUUCUUUUUUAAGACCUUUAUUUAUUUUACUUGAAACGGCAGAGACAGAGAGAGGUCUUCCCCUCACUGGUCACUCCCCGCAUGGCCGCGCUGGCUGGAGCUGGGCAAUCCAAAGCUAGGAGACAGGAGCUUCUAACAGGUUUCCCACGCAGGUGCAGGGGCCUGUGUGCUUUCUACUGCUUUCUCAGGCCACAGCAGGCAGCUGGAUUGGAAGUGGAGCAGCUGGGACUCCAUCCCGCGUGGGACGCGGCACUGCGGGUGGCGGCUCUACCCGCUACGCCACAGCGCCGGCCCCUGAAGUCUGCUUCUUUUCCUAGGUCUUCGGGGCCAUUGAAGAGGAAAGCUCCCUGGGCUUCCCCGUCGGAGGGCCUGGACACAGCCUGGACGUGCACGGGAAGCUCUGUCGGGCCCGCGUUCCUGAGCUGCGCGUCACUCGCACGCCAGUGUGGACCUGUGCCGUGCCGCGUGCUGCCGGGCGCCAGUCUGAGCGUAAGUACAAGGCGGCGCA